AGGACGAACGCUGGCGGCGUGCCCACAUGCAAGUCGAACGGGGGUUAAGCCCUUCGGGACUUAACUUAGUGGCGAACGGGUGAGUAACGCGUGAGGAACCUGCCCUUCAGAUGGGGACAACAGCUGGAAACGGCUGCUAAUACCGAAUACGUUCUUUUUGUCGCAUGGCAGAGGGAAGAAAGGGAGGCUCUUCGGAGCUUUCGCUGAAGGAGGGGCUUGCGUCUGAUUAGCUAGUUGGAGGGGUAACGGCCCACCAAGGCGACGAUCAGUAGCCGGUCUGAGAGGAUGAACGGCCACAUUGGGACUGAGACACGGCCCAGACUCCUACGGGAGGCAGCAGUGGGGAAUCUUCCGCAAUGGACGAAAGUCUGACGGAGCAACGCCGCGUGAACGAUGACGGCCUUCGGGUUGUAAAGUUCUGUUAUACGGGACGAAUGGCGUAGCGGUCAAUACCCGUUACGAGUGACGGUACCGUAAGAGAAAGCCACGGCUAACUACGUG
This 501-nucleotide ribosomal RNA is filed under the name uncultured bacterium. Its description in RNAcentral is "bacterial SSU rRNA". It matches the Rfam family "Bacterial small subunit ribosomal RNA", at positions 26 to 507 of the family's 1533-position model. The record is from RNAcentral.